CCCCUCUCAGGGUCGCAUCUGGAGAGUUUCCAGUACUCUACCAGUCUCGACUAUGGGCGGGAGAGCCAAACGGAGCGAUAUCCAUUCCAUUCCUAGCUUGGCCAGUAGCUAGCGAGUGGAAAGCAAUCUGCUACAAGU
This is a small nucleolar RNA of Ornithorhynchus anatinus (platypus), 138 nucleotides long. NCBI's taxonomy places the organism in Eukaryota, Metazoa, Chordata, Mammalia, Monotremata, Ornithorhynchidae. The record is from RefSeq and is a predicted model, not a curated record.